ACCAACAACUACACCAACAACUACACACAAAAACACAUCCUCCACUACAUCCACAUUCUCGAAAUCAACCACCCCCACCCCCACGACAUCUACUACACCCGUACCUUCAAUAGUAAACAUUUCCACCACAACAUCGACUACCACAAUAACUGCAACGACAGCACCAGCAACUAGAACGGCAACAUCAUCACCAACAAACGAUGCGACAACAGCAACAACAACGACUGUUUUGGCCUCAACAGCAUGGCAAACAACAUCAUCACUUGGACUUUCACUAACAACAGCACAGCCUGGAUCAUCGGGUUUCGUAAGAGGCUAUCAACCGACGCUUACAGACACUUGCUACUUUUUAACCAUUUGGGUUCCAAACCACGAUUUUCAAAAUGCAGACAAUGUCAUCGCUCAAGCCUCCAACAGAACCUUCCCAGAGUGUGCCCACAUGUGUACUGGUAACCCCAGGUGUCUCGUCUUCGUGUUUCACAACAACGGGGACUGUAAAGUGGGAGAUACUUGGUCGCCAAGUCUGUGGACAAAUGCCACCAUGUCUUCACGUGUGUACAGAUUGGUGCGCAUGGACACAAAUACGUAUUUAUACGCCCCCUAGUCAUGCAUCCACAGCCCGCUCGGUUGUGGAUCAGAAGUAGUCCACUGGGUGAGAAUUAUAGCUCAAAUUCGAUUUGUGGAAUUGGGUAUGAUUUUCAAUUUCCAAAUAACAACAAUGGUGAGUACACCAAAUGUUCAAAUAUACGUGAGUGAGUGAGUGAGUAUGGUUUUACGCCGCUGUCAGCACUAUUGGGGGCGUCAUUUAUUGCAUGGUGUAUAUAUGCACACAACUCGUAUACUACAUAUUCAUCAUGGGCACGUUUUCAUGACAGUCACUGAAAAAUAUACCCUAUAAACCUUGGUGUCAGUGAAAACCUUGGACAGUCAGUACCUUGGAGAGUCAGUGAAAACCUUGGAGAGUCAGUGAAAACCUUGGAGAGUCAGUGAAAACCUUGGUCAGUCAGUGAAAA
Molecule: long non-coding RNA, 1013 nt
Organism: Haliotis rufescens (red abalone)
Lineage: Eukaryota; Metazoa; Mollusca; Gastropoda; Lepetellida; Haliotidae
Exons: 2
Source: RefSeq, a predicted model, not a curated record